This 418-nucleotide ribosomal RNA is filed under the name uncultured bacterium. RNAcentral's name for it is "bacterial SSU rRNA". It matches the Rfam family "Bacterial small subunit ribosomal RNA", at positions 355 to 787 of the family's 1533-position model. The record is from RNAcentral.
UGGGGAAUAUUGGGCAAUGGGCGCAAGCCUGACCCAGCAACGCCGCGUGAAGGAAGAAGGCCCUCGGGUUGUAAACUUCUUUUAUCAGGGACGAAGGAAGUGACGGUACCUGAUGAAUAAGCCACGGCUAACUACGUGCCAGCAGCCGCGGUAAUACGUAGGUGGCAAGCGUUAUCCGGAUUUACUGGGUGUAAAGGGCGUGUAGGCGGGACUGCAAGUCAGAUGUGAAAACCAGAGGCUCAACCUCUGGCCUGCAUUUGAAACUGUAGUUCUUGAGUGUUGGAGAGGCAGGCGGAAUUCCGUGUGUAGCGGUGAAAUGCGUAGAUAUACGGAGGAACACCGGUGGCGAAGGCGGCCUGCUGGACUGUGACUGACGUUGAGGCCCGAAGGCGUGGGGAGCAAACAGGAUUAGAUACCC